Non-coding RNA from Camelus ferus (Wild Bactrian camel), 73 nucleotides. The record is from Rfam. NCBI's taxonomy places the organism in Eukaryota, Metazoa, Chordata, Mammalia, Artiodactyla, Camelidae.
GGAGAGUACAGUUCAAUGGUAGAGGGCAUGCCUAGCGUGCAUGAGGUCCUGGGUUCAAUCCCCAGUACCGCCU